AGGUCGAUUUUCUGCAAUGUCGGUUCGUGAAUCAGGUCAGAUCCGAAAGGAAGCAGCCUUCAACGAUUCCCGGCAUGUGUAUGAUGCGGCUGGAGCGCC
RNAcentral lists this signal recognition particle RNA (99 nucleotides) under Candidatus Hinthialibacter antarcticus. RNAcentral describes it as "signal recognition particle sRNA small type". It matches the Rfam family "Bacterial small signal recognition particle RNA". Rfam says of the family: The signal recognition particle (SRP) is a universally conserved ribonucleoprotein involved in the co-translational targeting of proteins to membranes. Lineage: Bacteria; Candidatus Hinthialibacterota; Candidatus Hinthialibacteria; Candidatus Hinthialibacterales; Candidatus Hinthialibacteraceae. The record is from RNAcentral.